RNAcentral lists this ribosomal RNA (305 nucleotides) under uncultured bacterium. Its description in RNAcentral is "bacterial SSU rRNA". It matches the Rfam family "Bacterial small subunit ribosomal RNA", at positions 334 to 655 of the family's 1533-position model. The record is from RNAcentral.
UUGGCCUACGGGACGCAGCAGUCGGGAAUAUUGCGCAAUGGAGGAAACUCUGACGCAGUGACGCCGCGUAUAGGAAGAAGGGUUUAGGAUUGUAAACUAUUUUAGACAGGGAAGAAAAAUGACUGUACCUGUAGAAUAAGCUCCGGCUAACUACGUGCCAGCAGCCGCGGUAAUACGUAGGGAGCAAGCGUUAUCCGGAAUUAUUGGGUGUAAAGGGUGCGUAGACGGGAAUACAAGUUGGUUGUGAAAUCCCUCGGCUUAACUGAGGAAUUGCAACCAAAACUAUAUUUCUUGAGUGCAGGAGG